GAACUGAAGAGUUUGAUCAUGGCUCAGAUUGAACGCUGGCGGCAGGCCUAACACAUGCAAGUCGAGCGUGAAAGGUCUUCGGACUGAGUAAAGCGGCGGACGGGUGAGUAAUGCUUGGGAAUCUACCUAGUAGUGGGGGAUAACGUGUGGAAACGCACGCUAAUACCGCAUACGUCCUACGGGAGAAAGCAGGGGACCUUCGGGCCUUGCGCUAUUAGAUGAGCCCAAGUCGGAUUAGCUAGUUGGUAGGGUAAAGGCCUACCAAGGCGACGAUCC
RNAcentral lists this ribosomal RNA (276 nucleotides) under SAR92 bacterium BACL16 MAG-120322-bin99. RNAcentral describes it as "partial 16S ribosomal RNA". It matches the Rfam family "Bacterial small subunit ribosomal RNA", at positions 1 to 282 of the family's 1533-position model. Lineage: Bacteria; Pseudomonadati; Pseudomonadota; Gammaproteobacteria; Cellvibrionales; Porticoccaceae. The record is from RNAcentral.